This 544-nucleotide ribosomal RNA is filed under the name Tipula melanomera gracilispina. Its description in RNAcentral is "12S ribosomal RNA". The record is from RNAcentral. Lineage: Eukaryota; Metazoa; Arthropoda; Insecta; Diptera; Tipulidae.
UAUAUAAGUAAGUUAGAUUUAUUAGGUGAAAUUUUAAAUUUAAUAAAUUAUAUAGUUGAAUUAUUGAAGUUAUGAAAUUUUAGAAAUAAACUAGGAUUAGAUACCCUAUUAUUUAAAAUGUAAAUGAAUAAUCUAGAAUAGUAUUAGUUAUGUUCUUGAAAUUUAAAAAAUUUGGCGGUAUUUUAGUCUAUUCAGAGGAACCUGUUUUAUAAUUGAUAAUCCACGUUGGACCUUACUUAAUUUGAUAAAGUUUGUAUACCGCCGUCGUCAGAAUGUCUUAAAAAAGAAAUAAUUUUCUAAAAUUUGAAAUAUAAAUUAUGUCAGGUCAAGGUGCAGCUUAUAGUUAAGUAAAAAUGGGUUACAAUAAAUAUAUUUUUGAAUAAAAAGUUGAAAUAUUUUUUUGAAAAUGGAUUUGAUAGUAAAAUAAAAAAGAAAAAUUAUUUGAUUUUAGCUCUAAAAUAUGCACAUAUCGCCCGUCGCUCUCGUUAUUAAAAUGAGAUAAGUCGUAACAUAGUAGAUGUACCGGAAGGUGUAUCUAGAAAGA